RNAcentral lists this ribosomal RNA (316 nucleotides) under uncultured Pseudomonadota bacterium. RNAcentral describes it as "bacterial SSU rRNA". It matches the Rfam family "Bacterial small subunit ribosomal RNA", at positions 30 to 346 of the family's 1533-position model. The record is from RNAcentral. Lineage: Bacteria; Pseudomonadati; Pseudomonadota.
AUUGAACGCUGGCGGCAUGCCUUACACAUGCAAGUCGAACGGUAACAGGGAGCUUGCUCCGCUGACGAGUGGCGAACGGGUGAGUAAAGUAUCGGAACGUACCUUUCAGUGGGGGAUAACGCAGCGAAAGUUGCGCUAAUACCGCAUAUUCUGUGAGCAGGAAAGCAGGGGAUCGCAAGACCUUGCGCUGAUUGAGCGGCCGAUGUCUGAUUAGCUAGUUGGUGGGGUAAGAGCCCACCAAGGCGACGAUCAGUAGCGGGUCUGAGAGGAUGAUCCGCCACACUGGGACUGAGACACGGCCCAGACUCCUACGGGG